Molecule: long non-coding RNA, 430 nt
Organism: Bombus huntii
Lineage: Eukaryota; Metazoa; Arthropoda; Insecta; Hymenoptera; Apidae
Exons: 2
Source: RefSeq, a predicted model, not a curated record
AGACGACAAACUGGAUGAAACUUUAAGUCUCGUUCAGGUAGUGUGUAAAUCAAAAAUUCGAUGGGACUCGCAUCCGUCGUCCUCGCGCGGUCUUUCGUCCCGAUAUCCAGAAGCAGAGUUUGAAAAACUCUAGCGACGGCACGGGUGUCCGACUCACGACAACGAGGAAAGACAGCCGGUCCCCUCUGAACGGUAUAUUAUAUGAAACUUUAAGUCUCGUUCAGGUAGUGUGUAAAUAAAAAAUUCGAUGGGACUCGCAUCCGUCGUCCUCGCGCGGUCUUUCGUCCCGAUAUCCAGAAGCAGAGUUUGAAAAACUCUAGCGACGGCACGGGUGUCCGACUCACGACAACGAGGAAAGACAGCCGGUCCCCUCUGAACGGUAUAUUAUAUGAAACUUUAAGUCUCGUUCAGGUAGUGUGUAAGUCAAAAA